Molecule: ribosomal RNA, 497 nt
Filed under: uncultured bacterium
Lineage: Bacteria
Description: partial 16S ribosomal RNA
Rfam family: Bacterial small subunit ribosomal RNA
Source: RNAcentral
GAUGAACGCUGGCGGCGUGCCUAAUACAUGCAAGUCGAGCGAACAGACGAGGAGCUUGCUCCUCUGACGUUAGCGGCGGACGGGUGAGUAACACGUGGAUAACCUACCUAUAAGACUGGGAUAAAUUCGGGAAACCGGAGCUAAUACCGGCUAAUAUCUUGAACCGCAUGGUUCAAUAGUUACAGACGGUUUUGCUGUCACUUAUAGAUGGAUCCGCGCCGCAUUAGCUAGUUGGUAAGGUAACGGCUUACCAAGGCGACGAUGCGUAGCCGACCUGAGAGGGUGAUCGGCCACACUGGAACUGAGACACGGUCCAGACUCCUACGGGAGGCAGCAGUAGGGAAUCUUCCGCAAUGGGCGAAAGCCUGACGGAGCAACGCCGCGUGAGUGAUGAAGGUCUUCGGAUCGUAAAACUCUGUUAUUAGGGAAGAACAAAUGUGUAAGUAACUAUGCACGUCUUGACGGUACCUAAUCAGAAAGCCACGGCUAACUACGUG